AGAGUGAACGCUGGCGGUAGGCCUAACACAUGCAAGUCGAACGGCAGCACAGUGGUAGCAAUACCAUGGGUGGCGAGUGGCGGACGGGUGAGGAAUACAUCGGAAUCUACCUUUUCGUGGGGGAUAACGUAGGGAAACUUACGCUAAUACCGCAUACGCCCUUCGGGGGAAAGCCGGGGAUCGCAAGACCUGGCGCGGAUAGAUGAGCCGAUGUCGGAUUAGCUAGUUGGUGAGGUAAUGGCUCACCAAGGCAACGAUCCUUAGCUGGUCUGAGAGGAUGAUCAGCCACACUGGGACUGAGACACGGCCCAGACUCCUACGGGAGCAGCAGUAGGGAAUAUUGGACAAUGGGACGAAAGCCUGAUCCAGCAAUGCCGCGUGAGUGAGUGAAGGCCUUUAGGUUAGUAAAGCUUACUUUACCCGAGUAUGAAUAAUGAC
RNAcentral lists this ribosomal RNA (438 nucleotides) under uncultured soil bacterium. Its description in RNAcentral is "bacterial SSU rRNA". It matches the Rfam family "Bacterial small subunit ribosomal RNA", at positions 26 to 456 of the family's 1533-position model. The record is from RNAcentral.